This 439-nucleotide ribosomal RNA is filed under the name uncultured bacterium. RNAcentral describes it as "partial 16S ribosomal RNA". It matches the Rfam family "Bacterial small subunit ribosomal RNA", at positions 339 to 795 of the family's 1533-position model. The record is from RNAcentral.
CUACGGGGGGCUGCAGUGGGGGAUAUUGCACAAUGGGGGAAACCCUGAUGCAGCAACGCCGCGUGAAGGAAGACGGAUUUCGGUCUGUAAACUUCUAUCAGCAGGGAUGAAAAUGACAGUACCUGACUAAUAAGCACCGGCUAACUACGUGCCAGCAGCCGCGGUAAUACGUAGGGGGCAAGCGUUAUCCGGAUUUACUGGGUGUAAAGGGUACGUAGGCGGUUUGUUAAGUCAGAUGUGAAAGCCCGGAGCUCAACUCCGGGACUGCAUUUGAAACUGGCGAACUAGAGUACAGGAGAGGAAAGCGGAAUUACUAGUGUAGCGGUGAAAUGCGUAGAUAUCAGGAAGAACACCAGUGGCGAAGGCGGCCUUCUGGACUGUAACUGACGCUGAGGUACGAAAGCGUGGGGAGCGAACAGGAUUAGAUACCCGGGUAGUC